AUGAAGGCAGCAUUAAAAACUAUCCUCCCAGAUACACUACAUAAGUUGUGUCGGUGGCAUAUCGUGAAGAAGUACAAAGACCACCUCGCCUUCCUGUAUAAGGCGCACGAGAAAAUCAAGGAUGACCUCAAUGCGGUGCUGAACCACCCACUAAUGCCGUCAGAAUUUGAACGGGCAUGGAAGGACCUCAUCCAGAAAUACAACUUGCAAAACGACGAAGCGAUGAAUUCGUUGUGGGAUGACAGCCACGAGUGGAUCUCGGCUUACUACAAGGAAAUUUUCUGUGCUCGGAUGACUUCCACGCAGAGAAGCGAGAGCAUGAACCGCAUAUUGAAGAAAAACUUCGUCAAAGAGAAGCAUGAUCUCCAUCUGUUUGCUUAG
This 381-nucleotide ribosomal RNA is filed under the name Triticum aestivum (bread wheat). Its description in RNAcentral is "partial small subunit ribosomal RNA". Lineage: Eukaryota; Viridiplantae; Streptophyta; Magnoliopsida; Poales; Poaceae. The record is from RNAcentral.